This 52-nucleotide microRNA precursor is filed under the name Pteropus alecto (black flying fox). Its description in RNAcentral is "microRNA pal-mir-9996 precursor". The record is from miRBase by way of RNAcentral. Lineage: Eukaryota; Metazoa; Chordata; Mammalia; Chiroptera; Pteropodidae.
UUUACCAUCAUUCUGCCCUGUCUCUCCAACUAGGGGCAGCAUGGUGUAGCAG